AUCAAUACUCGGAGGUUGAAGUAUCUCGAAAAAGUCAUAAACCUUUCUAUAAGUAGAGGUUGAAGUUUGAAUCUUUCUAUUAAAUUUUAUUAAUGUCACGGGUCAUUGAAAGCUCAACUAUAAAAUUCGAUGUGACUGAGCCAUCUACCAAUAGGGUGAUUCACGGGUCCUUGAAGGCUCUACUAUAAAAUUCGAUAUGACCGAGUCAUCCACUUAUGAAAGGAAAGAUAGUCGACAACAAUUGUUCACAAGAAGCUAUUGUUUGGGAGUCAUAUUUUGCU
Molecule: long non-coding RNA, 281 nt
Filed under: Trifolium pratense (red clover)
Lineage: Eukaryota; Viridiplantae; Streptophyta; Magnoliopsida; Fabales; Fabaceae
Description: long non-coding RNA (TPRA_LNC011265)
Source: RNAcentral